GGGGGCUCGAGCGUUAGUCGGAAUCACUGGGCUUAAAGGGUGCGUAGGUGGCUCGCCAAGUGUUUUGUGAAAUCCCACAGCUCAACUGUGGAACAGCAGGGCAAACUGGCGAGCUUGAGGCAGGUAGGGGCCGGAAGAACAGUUGGUGGAGCGGUGAAAUGCGUAGAUAUCAACUGGAAUGCCGAUGGGGAAGCCGUCCGGCUGGGCCUGUCCUGACACUGAGGCACGAAAGCGUGGGGAGCAAACAGGAUUAGAUACCCUGGUAGUCCACGCCGUAAACGAUGUACACUAGACUGGUGCGGUUUUGACGCCGUAUCAGUCGCAGUAAAAACGAUAAGUGUACCGCCUGGGGAGUACGGUCGCAAGGCUA
This 370-nucleotide ribosomal RNA is filed under the name uncultured organism. Its description in RNAcentral is "bacterial SSU rRNA". It matches the Rfam family "Bacterial small subunit ribosomal RNA", at positions 528 to 896 of the family's 1533-position model. The record is from RNAcentral.